Molecule: long non-coding RNA, 1410 nt
Filed under: Fragaria vesca (wild strawberry)
Lineage: Eukaryota; Viridiplantae; Streptophyta; Magnoliopsida; Rosales; Rosaceae
Description: long non-coding RNA (FVES_LNC004935)
Source: RNAcentral
ACCCUGAAACUCGGAGUAAGUCGUGCGGGGACCACCUCCAAGGAAAAUUUACUGAAAAAAUUGAGAAAAUCUCCCUUGCAGAUGGACAACCCUAACUCGAAAAUUCCAAAUUUUACUCUUAAAUCAACACUUCCAAACAUCACAUAAUUAUCCUUCAGAAAUUCUACACAUCAUAUACAAUAAUCCCAAAGUAUUCAGAGCUACUAAACACAAGCGGAAGCAAGAAAACACGAGUAGGUUGAACAGGUAACCUACUGAUGAAAACUGGCAGAAAUGCGGGUGACUAUACCUCGCCUCCUACUAGAUCCAACCCGAACUCUGCAGACUGGGCAAUUUAAAACGAAAGGCCCAGGGGAAAACAUUUAAUAACGUUAGAGUGAGUGGACAAAAAUAAAAUAAAGGAAAUAAUUCUUUAUGCUUUCCCAAUUUUUACUUUUCCAUAGAAAAGAAAAUAUGCUGCAUGCGACAGCUCAAAACGCUCAACACGAAAACUGAAAUUUCAUGACUGGCUCCGGCCAGUCUUCAACGCUCAAUAAAAUACAGCCUCUCAGGCUAAAAUAAAAUAUGUAUGUAUUACACUCGUCAUAUCCCCUAUAUAAAUUAUUAAUUUUAUAUAGGGCUACAACGAUUGCGUCUAACGCUCACGUUGCACCAUAAUGGAAUUUUACCUCAGUAUGGUGGAAAAGCACGUAUAGCUAGCUAGCAUUCUCUCAUAUACAUAUUAUUCUCAUAAUCAUCCACAUAUGGAUAUAUAUAUAUAUACUCACCGAAAUUCUCAAUUUCGGUUAUUCUCCAACAACAUAAAUUAUUUCGCAUGCACAUUAUUUAAAACAAAAGUCCACUAAAAAAUUAGGCCUAAGCCUGAUGUCGAUCUGGGGCCUCGUCAGCUCGAGCCUCCUCACGACUUGUUCCAAAUAUAAUAUUAAGUUCCCAGCCGAAAUUCCAAUAUUUAAUCAAAAUAGGCAAAAUUACCCGAGAGCCAUAAAUACGCUCAUCAUUGCCUAACUUCGAUAAUCUUAAAUUGGAACAAUCCGAACUUAAAUAUCAUACUCAACAGACGUAAAUACAACCUCUCCAAAAUACGACUUAAAUCCUACGGCCGGAUUCUACAUUAAUUAACCGCCAAAAAUACUAACUUCGGAAAUUCAUAAACCUAUCCAAAACUCAUCCAAAAAUUCCAUAACUCACUUCAAUAAACUCCCCUUAAUAUUCCAAAUUUAACAACAUUAAAAUCUCCCAACCGGCGGCGGCGCCGGCGGCGGCUCCGCCGGCAGCGGCGGCCGGAGGUCAAUUCCGGCGACCUCCAAAACCUAUGAAAUUUUAACAGCAUCUUCCUCUCAUCAUGCUCUACAACUUUCAUAACUAGCACAAACACCAAUUCCAAGCCUAACUAGGGCAAUCGACUAAAAA